CCCCCCCCACUUCUCCUUCUCUAUCGUGGUUUGACCAGGAAAAACUCCCUUCCUGGUCAAACCGCGACAGCACAGAGAGCCUUUCUCCUCUCUCACUCUGGGAUAUACCCUGGUUGUCUCUGAAAUGGGAUCUUUAAAGUUAUCCCUACACCACCAGGAACAGAAGAAAAUACUGCUAAAAAUAUCCUGGUGUAGAUCUCAAGUGUGUAAUUCAGCAUGCAGAUAUUCCAUGUGAAGGAUGGCAUUGCUUCACUGGGGGUACCUGGGUUACCUAGUGCCUUUCUGUUUUCUAAUACACUGAACAAAAAUCUG
Molecule: long non-coding RNA, 312 nt
Organism: Passer domesticus (house sparrow)
Lineage: Eukaryota; Metazoa; Chordata; Aves; Passeriformes; Passeridae
Exons: 3
Source: RefSeq, a predicted model, not a curated record